AUACUUUCCUGUUAGGGAGAUACCAUGUGCAUGAAGAUGGUCUUCUCAGGGCAAGGCACCCCACUGUACUGCAGAUGAGCCUACCCUGUGGUUUCCCCAAAUGUGGCAAACUUGACAACACAAUUUUUGGUGCCAGGGUAGGGGGGUGCAGUUGCAGUCUACCCUA
This is a small nuclear RNA of Grammomys surdaster, 166 nucleotides long. RefSeq annotates it as U1 spliceosomal RNA. The transcript has a single exon. NCBI's taxonomy places the organism in Eukaryota, Metazoa, Chordata, Mammalia, Rodentia, Muridae. The record is from RefSeq and is a predicted model, not a curated record.